RNAcentral lists this ribosomal RNA (465 nucleotides) under uncultured bacterium. RNAcentral's name for it is "partial 16S ribosomal RNA". It matches the Rfam family "Bacterial small subunit ribosomal RNA", at positions 28 to 507 of the family's 1533-position model. The record is from RNAcentral.
GACGAACGCUGGCGGUGUGCUUAACACAUGCAAGUCGAACGGUAAGGCCCUUUCGGGGGUACACGAGUGGCGCACGGGUGAGUAACACGUGAGUAACCUGCCCUCAUCUCUGGGAUAACAGUCGGAAACGGUUGCUAAUACUGGAUAUGAGCCUGCAAGGCAUCUUGUGGGUUGGAAAGAUUUUUUGGUUGGGGAUGGACUCGCGGCCUAUCAGCUUGUUGGUGAGGUAGUGGCUCACCAAGGCUUCGACGGGUAGCCGGCCUGAGAGGGCGACCGGCCACAUUGGGACUGAGAUACGGCCCAAACUCCUACGGGAGGCAGCAGUGGGGAAUAUUGCACAAUGGACGGAGGUCUGAUGCAGCAACGCCGCGUGCGGGAUGACGGCCUUCGGGUUGUAAACCGCUUUCAAUUGUGACGAAGCUUUUUGUGACGGUAGCAGUAGAAGAAGCACCGGCUAACUACGUG